This 1296-nucleotide long non-coding RNA is filed under the name Betta splendens (Siamese fighting fish). Its description in RNAcentral is "lncRNA (ENSBSLG00000003995.1)". Lineage: Eukaryota; Metazoa; Chordata; Actinopteri; Anabantiformes; Osphronemidae. The record is from RNAcentral.
AUGUGGAAAAAGCAAACUCAGCCAUUUCUCCCAGCGGCUUCCCUUCAGAUAGACCUUGAUGUUCGGGAGGUCAAGCUGCUCCAGACGACCAUGGUCCAGUUCGAGGAGGUUCUGGGCUGCGUGCGCCUGGCUCUGACCUGGGCCGCCCCAGCCCAGAUCCGAGCUCUGCUGGAGGGUUUGGUGGAGCAGGAGAUCAUCUCGGAGGCCUACAGCAGGAGCCUGGCUCUGCAUCGACUCGCUGAAGGGAUCUGCAUUGACCGCGAGCCACCGUGUAGCCCAGGAACUCAGGACCACAGCCUGGAAAACCUGGAGUCGGUAUUUUUGCUGGACGAGUCCUGGACGUAUGGAUGCCAGCUCACUGACGGAUACAACCAGGACGAGGGGUGGGAAGCAGUAAUAGAUGAAGACUACCUCAGCAUCAGGUCCACACCGAGCGUGUGUGAAACACAGAGCAGCCGCGACGAUGAGAUGCCAGAAGUGCUGAGAAGUGCAGAUCCAAUGCAGAAGCCAGCAAGUGAUAGUGAAAGAGCCGAGGAGGGGAUUUCAGCCGCUGAGAGGGAGUGGUUAGAGCAGGUAGAGGAGGCAGCCCGGCGGGUGGCUGUGCCUCUGUGGCAGCACUGGGACCGAGGGCGAACGAUGCUGCUGCCUAUGCUUCCUUCUGCGCUCGCCGAACGCCAGACGAGUCAACGCUCACCCGCUGGAGAACAAUGCUGCCUUUUAAAGAUGGAAGAGGAAACGGGGCUUGCAGCAGCCUGCAGGUCGCUGGGUUUCUACACGGACAACUUCAGGGGGGUGAACGCAGACGCCUGCUCCUCGCUGGAUGCAGCUGAAACCACCCGGACGCCAGAAGACCUGUGCUUGUGUCCGGAUGGCGGCGCGGCGCUGCCCGGCCUGGACGCGGAUCCUUUCAGCGCCUUUGGGGGAGCAGGAAGUCCCUCACCGGUGGAGGACGGCGUGAAAACGAGCCCCAACGGCCUGGCAGACGAGCCGGAGGACCCUCUCCCCACAGCAGAGGAGCUGAUGAGCUGGAGCACAGAGGACGGAUUCACGCAGGUCGCAGAACUACUUUCGCCUUCUGCACUAAGAGACACUUUUACUAUUGCAACAGAGAGUUUAUGUUCUGCAACCACACACCACAGCGUGACGUCAGGCUUCACAGAAACUAUAGAAAAUGUCUUUCCAAGUGUUUUUGGCACAACACGGAGCAGCGCCGAUGCCCUGCCAGCCUCCCCUGACGGCACAGAGCAUGAGGAGAAGCUGGAGUCGCACUGGGGUGAGUUCCUGUUUGUGCAUUAA